Cinara cedri is the source of this 427-nucleotide non-coding RNA. NCBI's taxonomy places the organism in Eukaryota, Metazoa, Arthropoda, Insecta, Hemiptera, Aphididae. The record is from the annotation of a GenBank genome assembly.
AAAACCGAAGACGGCGAUUGCGCAACUAUUUUAUGAUAUUUCUUAAAUCUCGCGUUGUGUAGUUAUUUUCAUUUCGGAUCGGAUAACAAUAAUUACAAAUAUUAUGUCUGAAUUUGCAUACGGCCGCGAAUUGCACCACGCACGACGCGAACGAUAAAGUCAACGAUGUUUUACGUUUUCUUACGAGACGAGUAUAUGAAAAAAAAAAAAAAAUUAUAUAAAAAAUGACUAGGACGCGCGAGUCCUACAAUAUAGGACCCGGAGGGUAUUAUUUCGUCGCGUACACACAUAAAUACUCGGUCGCGGUCUUGUCAAAUGAACAAUGGACUUGGUUGAAAUCAUAAACGCGCCAUCGUAGCCACAAUAACAAAUCGUCGAUAACGGUUUCCGUAUAUUAUCAUCAUUACGGUUCGUUGCCGCAUGCAUA